GAUGAACGCUGGCGGCGUGCCUAAUACAUGCAAGUCGAGCGAACAGAUAAGGAGCUUGCUCCUUUGACGUUAGCGGCGGACGGGUGAGUAACACGUGGGUAACCUACCUAUAAGACUGGAAUAACUCCGGGAAACCGGGGCUAAUGCCGGAUAACAUUUAGAACCGCAUGGUUCUAAAGUGAAAGAUGGUUUUGCUAUCACUUAUAGAUGGACCCGCGCCGUAUUAGCUAGUUGGUAAGGUAACGGCUUACCAAGGCAACGAUACGUAGCCGACCUGAGAGGGUGAUCGGCCACACUGGAACUGAGACACGGUCCAGACUCCUACGGGAGGCAGCAGUAGGGAAUCUUCCGCAAUGGGCGAAAGCCUGACGGAGCAACGCCGCGUGAGGGAUGAAGGUCUUCGGAUCGUAAAACUCUGUUAUUAGGGAAGAACAAAUGUGUAAGUAACUGUGCACGUCUUGACGGUACCUAAUCAGAAAGCCACGGCUAACUACGUG
RNAcentral lists this ribosomal RNA (497 nucleotides) under uncultured bacterium. RNAcentral describes it as "partial 16S ribosomal RNA". It matches the Rfam family "Bacterial small subunit ribosomal RNA", at positions 28 to 507 of the family's 1533-position model. The record is from RNAcentral.